This 192-nucleotide ribosomal RNA is filed under the name uncultured bacterium. RNAcentral's name for it is "partial 16S ribosomal RNA". It matches the Rfam family "Bacterial small subunit ribosomal RNA", at positions 340 to 524 of the family's 1533-position model. The record is from RNAcentral.
UACGGGAGGCAGCAGUGGGGAAUCUUCCGCAAUGGGCGAAAGCCUGACGGGGCAACGCCGCGUGAGUGAUGAAGGUCUUCGGAUCGUAAAACUCUGUUAUUAGGGAAGAACAAAUGUGUAAGUAACUAUGCACGUCUUGACGGUACCUAAUCAGAAAGCCACGGCUAACUACGUGCCAGCAGCCGCGGUAAU